Molecule: ribosomal RNA, 254 nt
Filed under: uncultured bacterium
Lineage: Bacteria
Description: partial 16S ribosomal RNA
Rfam family: Bacterial small subunit ribosomal RNA
Source: RNAcentral
UACGGAGGGAGCUAGCGUUAUUCGGAAUUACUGGGCGUAAAGCGCACGUAGGCGGCUUUGUAAGUAAGAGGUGAAAGCCCAGAGCUCAACUCUGGAAUUGCCUUUUAGACUGCAUCGCUUGAAUCAUGGAGAGGUCAGUGGAAUUCCGAGUGUAGAGGUGAAAUUCGUAGAUAUUCGGAAGAACACCAGUGGCGAAGGCGGCUGACUGGACAUGUAUUGACGCUGAGGUGCGAAAGCGUGGGGAGAAACAGGAU